UAUAGUAUUAGAAUUAAUAGUAAUUCUUUACCAGAAUACACAUGAGAAGGUGACAGAACCAAUAUCCCUUUAUAUAGAGUCCAGAUUGACUUUCCAUCAAAGUCUGAUUAGGAUUCUAUUUAAUUUAAAUAAAUGAAAAAAAUUCAUAACAUUAUUUUGAAAAUCGUUUCCAACACGAAAACUCAUUCUUCUGAAAUUCAGCUACCAUGAGGUGUAGAAAAUCGUUUUGCCAUAAAACUACAAGUAUAACAUUACCACUAUCACAUAUCGUAAACAGAAACACAUCAGUUAUUUAUUCUCAAAUAAACAUUCAAUUAAAUCAAACAAUCAACUAAUUGAACCAUGACACAGUCUACUUUAUUAACGAGUAAACAUAAA
Molecule: long non-coding RNA, 378 nt
Filed under: Ananas comosus (pineapple)
Lineage: Eukaryota; Viridiplantae; Streptophyta; Magnoliopsida; Poales; Bromeliaceae
Description: long non-coding RNA (ACOM_LNC000934)
Source: RNAcentral